GCAAGCAAAGAGCAUUUAUUUUGCUAACAGGGGGCGGCAAGAGUUGGUGUUGAAUUUAAAUUCUGAUGAUGGAGGGAUCCCACAUCAGGAAGCUAACAUAAAAGUGGAUGCGAAGCUGGCUUUAAAUAGAGAGAACCAUGAGGAGAGUAAAGGUACCCUUCUUGGCUGAUCCCUUUCGCUUUGUGGCGUGCUCGGUUGGGUUGGGCGCCGGCUAAGAGUGCUCGGAGCGUGGAUUAACUCUAGUCUCCAAUCAGAUAAUUUCUAGCCUUAGACGGAUCGGAGCUGCGAGGGGCUCGGAGGAAGCCACACACACUGUUUAUUUUAUAGUUUUGAUUAUUACUUUUAAAUGUUUUAUGUGGGUUGUAGUAAAGCCGUUGUAAUUUUCUGGAUUUCAAAUUUGGAAUUUUAUUUAUUGUUCUUAUAAUUGCUAGUAUUAGAACACGGUUUUCCAAAGCAA
Molecule: long non-coding RNA, 457 nt
Organism: Gossypium arboreum
Lineage: Eukaryota; Viridiplantae; Streptophyta; Magnoliopsida; Malvales; Malvaceae
Exons: 2
Source: RefSeq, a predicted model, not a curated record